GAUGAACGCUGGCGGCGCGCCUAACACAUGCAAGUCGAACGGGGUAGCAAUACCUAGUGGCGGACGGGUGAGUAACGCGUGAGAAUCUAGCUUGAGGACGGGGACAACAGUUGGAAACGACUGCUAAUACCCGAUGUGCCGAAAGGUGAAAGUUAUAUCGCCUCAAGAAGAGCUCGCGUCUGAUUAGCUAGCUGGUGUGGUAAAAGCGCACCAAGGCGACGAUCAGUAGCUGGUCUGAGAGGAUGAGCAGCCACACUGGGACUGAGACACGGCCCAGACUCCUACGGGAGGCAGCAGUGGGGAAUUUUCCGCAAUGGGCGAAAGCCUGACGGAGCAACGCCGCGUGAGGGAGGAAGGCUCUUGGGUUGUAAACCUCUUUUACUCGGGAAGAAGAAAGUGACGGUACCGAGGGAAUCAGCAUCGGCUAACUCCGUGCCAGCCGC
Molecule: ribosomal RNA, 443 nt
Filed under: uncultured bacterium
Lineage: Bacteria
Description: bacterial SSU rRNA
Rfam family: Bacterial small subunit ribosomal RNA
Source: RNAcentral